This 233-nucleotide ribosomal RNA is filed under the name uncultured bacterium. RNAcentral's name for it is "partial 16S ribosomal RNA". It matches the Rfam family "Bacterial small subunit ribosomal RNA", at positions 524 to 757 of the family's 1533-position model. The record is from RNAcentral.
UACGGAGGAUGCAAGCGUUAUCCGGAAUGAUUGGGCGUAAAGCGUCCGCAGGUGGCGGUGUAAGUCUGCUGUUAAAGAGUGAGGCUCAACCUCAUAAAGCAGUGGAAACUACACAGCUAGAGUGCGGUAGGGGCAGAGGGAAUUCCUGGUGUAGCGGUGAAAUGCGUAGAGAUCAGGAAGAACACCGGUGGCGAAAGCGCUCUGCUAGGCCGCAACUGACACUGAGGGACGAA